CGCACUGCAAGAGCAGAAGCUACAGAGAGAGCCCCCCACCCACCCAUGCGAGGGUGGGCACGGGAAAAACGUUUUUUAUUAAGGGUAGAAGUGGAUUUGAAAGAUCUGGAAGCAGAAUGUUCACACUGCAGUCACAGCAAGUGCAAAUGGCCUGAGGAGAUGGGAGCAGCCCCCUUCUCAUUGAAGUGGGAGGCUCUGGAAGGGGCCAGGAUCCGGGCUGGCGGCCCUCCUCAGCCCUGCGAUGGAGGGGCCCCAGCUGGGAGCAGGGUCUGCACCAGGAGGCAUUUCCUCUCAGAGCUGUAAUUAUGGCACCUCACCUGUCUUCAUUCGGGAUCCCCAAGGAGCAGGCCCUAUGACCAGAACUCAGGAGCAUCAUUAUUUGGGAGGUCACUCCAGGAAGCCCAGGUCGCAGUGAGGAGAGACGGCGUCCUGCAGAAGAUGUCGGGGAGUGGGCUCCCCGGAGGCUGGGUUUCCAGGGCGCCCCCAGGGAAGACGGAGAUGCUCUACUGAAAGGACUGGGAGCUUGGGCGUUUGUAAUCAACUUCCUUCCGUCUGUUUCAGGGCUGCUCCCAGGAGAGCCCAGUGGGCCAGCAGCUCGGCCUCCCGUGGCCCGAGCAGGGAAACGCCAUCUGGCAGGUGGCCUGCACUUUUCGACCACAGUCACCUCAAUGCCUCAUUUUGUUUGCCCACACUCCCCCUCCCAAAGGUAUUCAGUGGCUUCUCAAAAUUUACUGUA
Molecule: long non-coding RNA, 736 nt
Organism: Eptesicus fuscus (big brown bat)
Lineage: Eukaryota; Metazoa; Chordata; Mammalia; Chiroptera; Vespertilionidae
Exons: 3
Source: RefSeq, a predicted model, not a curated record